RNAcentral lists this ribosomal RNA (407 nucleotides) under uncultured bacterium. RNAcentral's name for it is "bacterial SSU rRNA". It matches the Rfam family "Bacterial small subunit ribosomal RNA", at positions 355 to 776 of the family's 1533-position model. The record is from RNAcentral.
UGGGGAAUAUUGCACAAUGGGGGAAACCCUGAUGCAGCAACGCCGCGUGAAGGAAGACGGUUUUCGGAUUGUAAACUUCUUUUCUUAGUGAAGAAACAAAUGACGGUAGCUAAGGAAUAAGCAUCGGCUAACUACGUGCCAGCAGCCGCGGUAAUACGUAGGAUGCGAGCGUUAUCCGGAAUUACUGGGUGUAAAGGGAGCGCAGGCGGGACUGCAAGUUGGAUGUGAAAUACCGCAGCUUAACUGCGGAGCUGCAUCCAAAACUGUAGUUCUUGAGUGGAGUAGAGGCAAGCGGAAUUCCGAGUGUAGCGGUGAAAUGCGUAGAUAUUCGGAGGAACACCAGUGGCGAAGGCGGCUUGCUGGGCUCUAACUGACGCUGAGGCUCGAAAGUGUGGGGAGCAAACAGG